This 661-nucleotide long non-coding RNA is filed under the name Marmota monax (woodchuck). Lineage: Eukaryota; Metazoa; Chordata; Mammalia; Rodentia; Sciuridae. The record is from RNAcentral.
AUUAUUUGACCAGCAGCAUCCAUGAUCCUUGACUCCACUAGGAGGUUCUCCUUGGCUCCUAUCACUAGUGCCUUCUUUGAUUGGCUCUUUGGGGUCUUCUUUCCCACCAUCUGGGCAGUCAACACAGUGUGUCUCUCUCAGGUGCAUGGCUGUGCCCUCCCGAGCCUCACAGGUAGCCUGUGUCUGCAGGUAUCACUGGGUCUCGUGCUUUCUACUCUGUCUGCCUGGUCAGUUCCAUGAGCCAUCAGCCACAUGCCCAGCUCCAUCCACGUUCUGUCCCAUUUCACCAAACUGGAGCUUAUGGGAUUUACUGAGGUCACAUGAUCUGGUGGUGUGGCAACAGCACAAUCAUCUGCUGUUUGGCCAGGGGACAUCCUCUAUCGUUCUAUCUCACACAUGUACUGGGGAUGUUCUUGAUGUAUACACAUCCAGCCUGACUGCUUGGUGUUUCUGAAGACCAUAGGGGCCAUCAUAUACCUUUCAGUAUGUCUCUUUUCUGUCUUAAUAGAAAUUAAUUUGCUUCAUUCCUUUCAAUUAAGAACCCUGGUUGAUACAAUCAGAAUCAAAUGUCAGUUUGAAUGUAACUAGAAAAUAUUAUGGAAAGUAAGAGCAGUAAUUAUACUAAUGGAGGAGGAGAGAAACAUUGAAAUAUUUAGCAAAC